AGUGAACGCUGGCGGUAGGCCUAACACAUGCAAGUCGAACGGCAGCACAGUAAGAGCUUGCUCUUACGGGUGGCGAGUGGCGGACGGGUGAGGAAUACAUCGGAAUCUACUUUUUCGUGGGGGAUAACGUAGGGAAACUUACGCUAAUACCGCAUACGACCUACGGGUGAAAGCAGGGGAUCUUCGGACCUUGCGCGAUUGAAUGAGCCGAUGUCGGAUUAGCUAGUUGGCGGGGUAAAGGCCCACCAAGGCGACGAUCCGUAGCUGGUCUGAGAGGAUGAUCAGCCACACUGGAACUGAGACACGGUCCAGACUCCUACGGGAGGCAGCAGUAGGGAAUAUUGGGCAAUGGGCGAAAGCCUGAUCCAGCCAUACCGCGUGGGUGAAGAAGGCCUUCGGGUUGUAAAGCCCUUUUGUUGGGAAAGAAAAGCAGCAGGUUAAUACCCCGCUGUUCUGACGGUACCCAAAGAAUAAGCACCGGCUAACUUCGUG
RNAcentral lists this ribosomal RNA (492 nucleotides) under uncultured bacterium. RNAcentral's name for it is "partial 16S ribosomal RNA". It matches the Rfam family "Bacterial small subunit ribosomal RNA", at positions 29 to 507 of the family's 1533-position model. The record is from RNAcentral.